GGCCUUGGUGAGCCAGCUGCUGCUGGCGGGAAGCCGGGCAGAGGGGGCUGCCGGAGACGGGGAGCCACAGUCACGCUGGAGAGCCAGGAGAGGGUCAAAACGGGCCCUGCCCAGAUGGGGCCGGAGUGGACGGAGAAGAGCCUGGGGACUCGUCCCAGAGGGCAGCAGUGACUCACUGAGCAUCUACCAUGGCUCUUAGCAGGACCCAGAGGUGCCACUAACCCAGUCCUGGUCCCCAGCGACCCUGGGGAGGAGCUUAACCUCGCUUUGCAGGAGUGAGGCGCAGAAACAGGAGUGCCGGGGAGAAAUAGAAAGGACCUGUAUUUCCUGGAGCCGGACUCAGUUCUACACGCCUCUUCUCUGCCGUUUCAAGGCCAGCCUCAUCCUCCCGGUGGAGACUGGGGAAUGGAAACAGCCUGCCUUGCUGGGAAGCAACUGGCUUGCAGCCCCUCCCUCUGCUCUCAGCUUUUCUGCUGCCAGAAGACGGGUGUCACACUGUGUUAUCACGGCAGGAGUCACAUGGAAGCUCACCCCUGCUUGGCAUCUACUUCAGGUGAGGCGUCAUGGGCACAAAAGGACCAGAGCCUGGACGUAGGGAGGACAGACCUCUUUCUGCGCACUGACAGCCUGCCCAGCCCUUCUCGAAGUCCUCCUGCAGGGCCAGUUGAGUCUCCAUCCUUGCUUCUCUCCUCCUGCCCUUCCUGCCUAGCAGCACCAACGUCUGCUUCUCCCUGACCCCUGGAUAUUCCGUGGACCUCUGAGAACACUCUCCACUUUGCGCCCCCAUAUCCCUGCCCAGUGGAGUCUACCCUAUCCCUCACUCCUGACCCCCAGCCUCCAAGGAGAGGUCAGCAGAGAGCUCACCUUCUGCUGCCACCAUCUCCCCGUGAAGAUGAUGUGGACUUGGUGCAGUGCUCAAGAAAGUGUGGAUCCAGGUGUGGCUAAGUGCCCGGAACAGGGCAGGAGAGGCUGAUCAUGCGAGAGCACAGUGCUGUAUCUGUGCCCAGGGAGCCAGCUGCUCCUGGCAUGGCCAAAAGUGUCCAGAGCUUCCCCACAGCGGGAAGCUGUGAAGAAGGGCCCCGGCAUUGGCCCCAGAAGCUCAAAGGGGCAUGGUCUCCCUCUAAAUGAGAAGAAACGCCAAGUUUCAGUUAAUCAUCCCAGAGUUCAGUGUCAGAGGAGACUGACUGUGAUUUGGUGUUUUUAUUUAAGCAUUGCUUUGCACUGUUUCCUUUCUUGUUGGUGUGUCUCAGGGUGAUUACUAAUAAAUUUUGCUAUUAUUUUAAUAUUGUGUGAUAUAAUUUUUUUUAUUGGUAAUAGUGUGUUUUGUGAACCUUGUUAAAAUUUUGAUGUUUCUGUUGAUGAUACUUCUGGAACAUAGAACCCUAGGCCUCUGCAGCCAAACUCGGGAACCACCUUUCCUGUAAAACUCCAGGCUUACAAAUGCAGAUCAGUGCAGAGCUGCAGGAAAUAAAAAGAAGCUAAAAUAGGCACCGGGGGCCUGGAGUAGAGCAAGGAAGGAGGGACAGAGGAAGCGCCUGGGGAAACGCUGCGAGGGACAGGGCCUGGGGAGACUUUCAAGGGCAGGUAGGGUACUCAUGGCCCACUUGGAGUGAGACAGACUGGGACCUGGGACCUGGGACCCUUUGUUUCAGUGCUUGUACCUGAACACAAGUCUCCCCCAGCAACAAAAUACAAAGAAAACUAUGAUGGACUAAAGGUAGCUGUAUGCCUGUGCACAGUUCAGGCAAAUAAUGGACAAAAGGAUACAAAAAGGCCAAAACAUAAAGCAAAAAACAGAACGCAACUCCUACUCUGAGGAUCCAGAAGCGAAAACAGGGGGUCAGGAGUAAAAAGCAGGUUACUGCCCAUGAGCAUGACCCUUGCAUUCAAUACCAACCAAAGGGAUGGGCAAACUCCCUAAGCCACUCCUUUGGCCCGACCCUUGGACACACUCCUCUUCUCACCCCAUAUGAGGAACCAGCUCACCCUCCCUCAGCGAGCAAGCAAGGGAACCUGUUACUUGUUCUCACUACCCCCAGUAAAGCCUUGCCUGAGUUUCU
RNAcentral lists this long non-coding RNA (2060 nucleotides) under Capra hircus (goat). RNAcentral describes it as "lncRNA (ENSCHIG00000000572.1)". Lineage: Eukaryota; Metazoa; Chordata; Mammalia; Artiodactyla; Bovidae. The record is from RNAcentral.